This is an RNA transcript of Rhea pennata, 1177 nucleotides long. It is a transcript of the gene named TRAF interacting protein with forkhead associated domain, with no coding region annotated. The transcript is spliced from 3 exons. NCBI's taxonomy places the organism in Eukaryota, Metazoa, Chordata, Aves, Rheiformes, Rheidae. The record is from RefSeq and is a predicted model, not a curated record.
GAAGGACGCCGGGCGCACACUCUCCGCGCACGGCGGAAGGCGGCCGGAGGCGCCGCGGCGGACCCCGCACCCCCAGCGGACAGUUCUGAGGACUUAUGUCAUCAUGACCUCUUGUGAAGAAGCUGAUACUGAAGAAACAGUAACAUGUCUCCACAUGACUUUUUACCAUCCUUGCCAAGAUGACAAGAGGAUGUUUCGUUGCCUGAAUUUCUAUAAGCGAGAACAGCUCCGGGCAGAUGAAAUGGCUGUGUUCGGCCGCGAUCCUAAUAUCUGCCGAUAUAACUUAAUGGAUUCUCGUGUUUCUCGGAUUCAGUUUUCUUUGCAGUUUUACAGAAAACUGAACAGCUCAGAAUUUUGUUUUGAGAUAAAGAACAUGAGCAAGAAAACAAAGCUGACUGUGGGCCACACCGAACUGGGUUACUUGAACAAAACUGACUUGCCAUGGAAGUGCAUCAUUUGUUUUGGGGACUACCAGAUCUUAACAGAGAUACAAGAAGGAGAGUCUAUGGAUUAUUUUGAAACUCACUUACAUUUGGCUCAAAUGCCACUCUUACAAGAAAAAUGCCUGCCAUCACUGCAACCCAUACCUGAGACUGGCACUUUCCCUUCUUUGUUUCUUUCCCAAGACAAAAGCCCAACAGAGACUGAUGAAAAUGAGUCAUACUAGUCAGGAAAAGGAGGCUGGAUCAGAUUUUAAACAUUUGAAACCUGCAUGACUUCUGGAUCUGAAAUCAUGUAGUCCUUACUGCUGUUAUGUCAAUCCUCUUAGCCUUUGUGCUCAGGAUGAGUGCACCAGAAUUUCAUUGCUUCAACAGAAGCAGGCUCCUGCCCCUGUCCUUUUUUGGGCAUGUGUGCUGUCUGAUCACCACUGUUUGCCACAUCAGCAUGUGGGAGACCCCAGUUUACACAGACACUUAAGUCCACAGAAGCAGAUUCAAUUCAAGAACCAGGCCUACAUGCUCCAACUGAGCAUGCCAAAUGGUGUUUUAGCCCCAACAUUGAGUAGCUGAGUAGGGACUACAUAAUACAAGAGCUGAUUCUGUGCAAUAGCUGAAGCCCUGAAAUCCCACAGCAGCUAUGGAAGACUGAAGUCAUGAAGGUCAGAAAGGGGAAAUACUAUCAACUCCAUCCCUGUCUUGUCAUCUGUACCAACUUUAACACACUUAAAUGAGAAUAA